This 350-nucleotide ribosomal RNA is filed under the name uncultured bacterium. RNAcentral describes it as "bacterial SSU rRNA". It matches the Rfam family "Bacterial small subunit ribosomal RNA", at positions 28 to 334 of the family's 1533-position model. The record is from RNAcentral.
GAUUAACGCUUGCGGCAUGCCUAAGACAUGCAAGUCGAACGAGAAGGCCCAUUGAUGUAGAUUGAAGUUGGAGUGCUUGCACAAAAAUGGAUUUCUAUUGAUUUGGAUUUUCCUUCUAGUGGCAAACGGGUGAGUAACACGUGGGUUACCUACCUCUAAGUUGGGGAUAUCAUCUGGAAACGGAUAGUAAUACCGAAUGUGAACUACGGUUUAAAGAAGCCUUUAAAGCUUCGCUUAGAGAUGGGCCUGCGGUGCAUUAGCUAGUUGGUGAGAUAAUAGCCCACCAAGGCAACGAUGCAUAGCCGAACUGAGAGGUUGAUCGGCCACACUGGGACUGAGACACGGCCCAG